GAUGAACGCUGGCGGCGUGCCUAAUACAUGCAAGUCGAGCGAACAGACGAGGAGCUUGCUCCUCUGACGUUAGCGGCGGAGGGGUGAGUAACACGUGGAUAACCUACCUAUAAGACUGGGAUAACUUCGGGAAACCGGAGCUAAUACCGGAUAAUAUAUUGAACCGCAUGGUUCAAUAGUGAAAGACGGUUUUGCUGUCACUUAUAGAUGGAUCCGCGCCGCAUUAGCUAGUUGGUAAGGUAACGGCUUACCAAGGCAACGAUGCGUAGCCGACGUGAGAGGCUGAUCGCCCACAUGGGAACUGGGCCACGGUCCAGACUCCUGCGGGAGGGCGCAGUAGCGAAUCUUCCGCAAUGGGCGAAAGCAUGACGGAGCAACGCCGCGUGAGUGAUGAAGGUCUUCGGAUCGUAAAACUCUGUUAUUAGGGAAGAACAAAUGUGUACGUAACUAUGCACGUCUUGACGGUACCUAAUCAGAAAGCCCCGGCUAACUACGUG
RNAcentral lists this ribosomal RNA (497 nucleotides) under uncultured bacterium. RNAcentral's name for it is "partial 16S ribosomal RNA". It matches the Rfam family "Bacterial small subunit ribosomal RNA", at positions 28 to 507 of the family's 1533-position model. The record is from RNAcentral.